AAAGGGAGACCUAAUUCAGGUAAAAGACGAAAAAAAAGUAGUCGCUACCAAGAAUCAAUCCCAAAAGGUCGGAGCGAGGCGAAAUUGGCUUUCAAACUAGGUUCUGGGUUCAAACAAGACCUGAAUCAGGAACAAGGGCUAUUAGCUCAGGUGGUUAGAGCGCACCCCUGAUAAGGGUGAGGUCCCUGGUUCGAGUCCAGGAUGGCCCACCUGUACAGGUGGCAAAAAGAAAGAAAAGAAGCGAGGAAUCAGCACCUUAUCUUACUUAUAUAGUAAGAGAGAAUGCUGGCUCUGAGUUCAGAGUCCAGAGGAACCUUGAAAACUGCAUAGAGCUAGGUGAAAAAGCCAAAAAAGAAGACCGCAAG
RNAcentral lists this transfer RNA (365 nucleotides) under uncultured Microcystis sp. Its description in RNAcentral is "partial 16S-23S ribosomal RNA intergenic spacer". The stretch from base 136 to 209 matches the Rfam family "tRNA". Lineage: Bacteria; Bacillati; Cyanobacteriota; Cyanophyceae; Chroococcales; Microcystaceae. The record is from RNAcentral.